This 449-nucleotide ribosomal RNA is filed under the name uncultured bacterium. RNAcentral's name for it is "partial 16S ribosomal RNA". It matches the Rfam family "Bacterial small subunit ribosomal RNA", at positions 29 to 523 of the family's 1533-position model. The record is from RNAcentral.
AACGAACGCUGGCGGCAUGCCUAACACAUGCAAGUCGAACGAGAUCUUCGGAUCUAGUGGCGCACGGGUGCGUAACGCGUGGGAAUCUGCCCUUGGGUUCGGAAUAACAGUGAGAAAUUACUGCUAAUACCGGAUGAUGUCUUCGGACCAAAGAUUUAUUGCCCAAGGAUGAGCCCGCGUAGGAUUAGCUAGUUGGUGGGGUAAUGGCCUACCAAGGCGACGAUCCUUAGCUGGUCUGAGAGGAUGAUCAGCCACACUGGGACUGAGACACGGCCCAGACUCCUACGGGAGGCAGCAGUGGGGAAUAUUGGACAAUGGGGAAAACCCUGAUCCAGCAAUGCCGCGUGAGUGAUGAAGGCCUUAGGGUUGUAAAGCUCUUUUACCAGGGAUGAUAAUGACAGUACCUGGAGAAUAAGCUCCGGCUAACUCCGUGCCAGCAGCCGCCGCGG